UACAUAUUGACCCACACCAAACCCGCCCGGGAAUUACGAGCCCAAGCUUAAAACCCAAAGGACUUGACGGUGCCCCAUCCCCCUAGAGGAGCCUGUUCUAUAAUCGAUACCCCCCGAUUUACCUCACCACCCCUUGCUUACUCAGCCUGUAUACCUCCGUCGCAAGCUCACCAUGUGAACGUACUCAGUGAGCUAACAGGUUUAACACCCACACGUCAGGUCAAGGUGCAGCCCACGGGGUGGCAAGAAAUGGGCUACAAUCUCUACCCUAGAGCAAACAGAGUACUACCUGAAACAGUCAUUGAAGGCGGAUUUAGCAGUAAAAAGAAAAUAGAGAGUUCUUUUUAACUUGGCCCUGGGGCGUGUACACACCGCCCGUCACCCUCUUCAAAAACCCAUAUAAACGUAACUAACACCCCACCAUCAUACAGAAGAGGCAAGUCGUAACACGGUAAGCGUACUGGAAAGUGCGCUUGGAACAAAAUGUAACUUAAUAAAAGUCUCUUGUUUACACCAAGAAUAUGUUAGCUAACCCUAACCAUUUUGAGCCUAAAAUCUAGCCCCACCAACCCGAAUGAUCUUUUCCCCACCCCCCCCCCCCCCCAAAAAAAACAUUUUACAGCCUAGUAGAGGCGAUCAAAAAGCACCCAGGAGCCUUAGCAUAAGUACCGCAAGGGAAAGAUGAAAUAGAAAGAAACAAACCUAAA
Molecule: ribosomal RNA, 707 nt
Filed under: Paedophryne amauensis
Lineage: Eukaryota; Metazoa; Chordata; Amphibia; Anura; Microhylidae
Description: partial 12S ribosomal RNA
Rfam family: Bacterial small subunit ribosomal RNA (bases 1-489)
Source: RNAcentral